AUUGAACGCUGGCGGCAGGCUUAACACAUGCAAGUCGAGCGGAGAUGAGGUGCUUGCACCUUAUCUUAGCGGCGGACGGGUGAGUAAUGCUUAGGAAUCAGCCUAUUAGUGGGGGACAACAUUCCGAAAGGAAUGCUAAUACCGCAUACGUCCUACGGGAGAAAGCAGGGGAUCUUCGGACCUUGCGCUAAUAGAUGAGCCUAAGUCGGAUUAGCUAGUUGGUGGGGUAAAGGCCUACCAAGGCGACGAUCUGUAGCGGGUCUGAGAGGAUGAUCCGCGAAACUGGGACUGAGACACGGCCCAGACUGCGACGGGAGGCAGCAGUGGGGAAUAUUGGACAAUGGGGGAAACCCUGAUCCAGCCAUGCCGCGUGUGUGAAGAAGGCCUUAUGGUUGUAAAGCACUUUAAGCGAGGAGGAGGCUACUGAGACUAAUACUCUUGGAUAGUGGACGUUACUCGCAGAAUAAGCACCGGCUAACUCUGUGCCAGCCGCCGCAGUAA
This 501-nucleotide ribosomal RNA is filed under the name uncultured bacterium. RNAcentral's name for it is "partial 16S ribosomal RNA". It matches the Rfam family "Bacterial small subunit ribosomal RNA", at positions 30 to 523 of the family's 1533-position model. The record is from RNAcentral.